UAGCCAGAAGGAUUAGAUGAGGUUGUUAGUUCUUUUUUGUGUUUUUGAAAAUAAGGUCAAUAUGAUUAAGUUCAUUUACAAGUUUGAUUAAGAAAAUAUUUUGAAAAUCAAUGGCAUAAGGCUAAGGUUUCUGCUUAUUAAAACAAGUCUAAGUUGAAAACACAAGCAAAGAAGUUUUUGAAAAUGAGGGAGAGAUUUUGAAAUUUAAGAAGGAGGAGGAGAUGAAG
RNAcentral lists this long non-coding RNA (227 nucleotides) under Lathyrus oleraceus (garden pea). Its description in RNAcentral is "Pisum sativum (pea) long non-coding RNA (PSAT_LNC037215)". Lineage: Eukaryota; Viridiplantae; Streptophyta; Magnoliopsida; Fabales; Fabaceae. The record is from RNAcentral.